Molecule: ribosomal RNA, 206 nt
Filed under: uncultured Bifidobacterium sp.
Lineage: Bacteria; Bacillati; Actinomycetota; Actinomycetes; Bifidobacteriales; Bifidobacteriaceae
Description: partial 16S ribosomal RNA
Rfam family: Bacterial small subunit ribosomal RNA
Source: RNAcentral
CUGAGAGGGCGACCGGCCACAUUGGGACUGAGUUACGGCCCAGACUCCUACGGGAGGCAGCAGUGGGGAAUAUUGCACAAUGGGCGCAAGCCUGAUGCAGCGACGCCGCGUGCGGGAUUACGGCCUUCGGGUUGUAAACCGCUUUUGAUCGGGAGCAAGCCUUCGGGUGAGUGUACCUUUCGAUAAGCACCGGCUAACUACGUGCC